Molecule: ribosomal RNA, 460 nt
Filed under: uncultured bacterium
Lineage: Bacteria
Description: partial 16S ribosomal RNA
Rfam family: Bacterial small subunit ribosomal RNA
Source: RNAcentral
CCUACGGGAGGCAGCAGUGAGGAAUAUUGGUCAAUGGACGAGAGUCUGAACCAGCCAAGUAUCGUGAAGGAUGACUGCCCUAUGGGUUGUAAACUUCUUUUAUAUGGGAAUAAAACGUUCCACGUGUGGGAUUUUGUAUGUACCAUAUGAAUAAGGAUCGGCUAACUCCGUGCCAGCAGCCGCGGUAAUACGGAGGAUCCGAGCGUUAUCCGGAUUUAUUGGGUUUAAAGGGAGCGUAGGUGGAUUGUUAAGUCAGUUGUGAAAGUUUGCGGCUCAACCGUAAAAUUGCAGUUGAAACUGGCAGUCUUGAGUACAGUAGAGGUGGGCGGAAUUCGUGGUGUAGCGGUGAAAUGCUUAGAUAUCACGAAGAACUCCGAUUGCGAAGGCAGUUCACUGGACUGCAACUGACACUGAGGCUCGAAAGUGUGGGUAUCAAACAGGAUUAGAUACCCGAGUAGUC